RNAcentral lists this ribosomal RNA (1380 nucleotides) under uncultured bacterium. RNAcentral's name for it is "bacterial SSU rRNA". It matches the Rfam family "Bacterial small subunit ribosomal RNA". The record is from RNAcentral.
GAAUUCGCCCUUAGUUUGAUCCUGGCUCAGGAUGAACGCUGGCGGCGCGCCUAACACAUGCAAGUCGAACGAGCGAGAGAGAGCUUGCUUUCUCAAGCGAGUGGCGAACGGGUGAGUAACGCGUGAGGAACCUGCCUCAAAGAGGGGGACAACAGUUGGAAACGACUGCUAAUACCGCAUAAGCCCACGGCUCGGCAUCGAGCAGAGGGAAAAGGAGCAAUCCGCUUUGAGAUGGCCUCGCGUCCGAUUAGCUAGUUGGUGAGGUAACGGCCCACCAAGGCGACGAUCGGUAGCCGGACUGAGAGGUUGAACGGCCACAUUGGGACUGAGACACGGCCCAGACUCCUACGGGAGGCAGCAGUGGGGAAUAUUGCACAAUGGGGGAAACCCUGAUGCAGCGACGCCGCGUGGAGGAAGAAGGUCUUCGGAUUGUAAACUCCUGUUGUUGAAGAAGAUAAUGACGGUACUCAACAAGGAAGUGACGGCUAACUACGUGCCAGCAGCCGCGGUAAAACGUAGGUCACAAGCGUUGUCCGGAAUUACUGGGUGUAAAGGGAGCGCAGGCGGGAAGACAAGUUGGAAGUGAAAUCCAUGGGCUCAACUCAUAAACUGCUUUCAAAACUGUUUUUCUUGAGUAGUGCAGAGGUAGGCGGAAUUCCCGGUGUAGCGGUGGAAUGCGUAGAUAUCGGGAGGAACACCAGUGGCGAAGGCGGCCUACUGGGCACCAACUGACGCUGAGGCUCGAAAGUGUGGGUAGCAAACAGGAUUAGAUACCCUGGUAGUCCACACUGUAAACGAUGAUUACUAGGUGUUGGAGGAUUGACCCCUUCAGUGCCGCAGUUAACACAAUAAGUAAUCCACCUGGGGAGUACGACCGCAAGGUUGAAACUCAAAGGAAUUGACGGGGGCCCGCACAAGCAGUGGAGUAUGUGGUUUAAUUCGACGCAACGCGAAGAACCUUACCAAGUCUUGACAUCCUGCGACGGUGCUGGAAACAGUACUUUCCUUCGGGACGCAGAGACAGGUGGUGCAUGGUUGUCGUCAGCUCGUGUCGUGAGAUGUUGGGUUAAGUCCCGCAACGAGCGCAACCCUUAUGGUCAGUUACUACGCAAGAGGACUCUGGCCAGACUGCCGUUGACAAAACGGAGGAAGGCGGGGAUGACGUCAAAUCAUCAUGCCCUUUAUGACUUGGGCUACACACGUACUACAAUGGCGUUAAACAAAGAGAAGCAAGACCGCGAGGUGGAGCAAAACUCAGAAACAACGUCCCAGUUCGGACUGCAGGCUGCAACUCGCCUGCACGAAGUCGGAAUUGCUAGUAAUCGCAGAUCAGCAUGCUGCGGUGAAUACGUUCCCGGGCCUUGCACACACCGCCCGUCA